Molecule: long non-coding RNA, 2457 nt
Organism: Pezoporus occidentalis (night parrot)
Lineage: Eukaryota; Metazoa; Chordata; Aves; Psittaciformes; Psittacidae
Exons: 2
Source: RefSeq, a predicted model, not a curated record
GUUGAUUUACAUGCACUAAUUGCUAGUUCCUAUUAAGCACUGAGUGGUCACCUACUCAGUAAUAUUCAUAAAUUAAUACUUUCAGAUAGCAGUUACUCAAAAAUAGUAGGAAACACUAAAUUCACUUUAGAUUUUAGCAAUGAAAUUGGAUUAUCCUUUUGUCUAGGAAACAGUUUGCUGGUUUGCUAUUCAAACAGAAUGACCAGAGUGAAAUUGUCAAAAGCUGUGCUGUUUUGUGUGUGUCUAUCAUGUAGAUAUUUGGCACAGACACUUCACAUGCAGGACAGGCUACCCUGGAGAUCUGAGGGCAACUUUCAGUACAAGCUGGAAAAACAGGUAUUCCAUGUUUUGCUUCAGUGACGGUGUGGAGGGAUUGUUCUAGGAAUAACAAGUUCCUCAAUUUUAAAGACUCAGUUCUGGAUCUGACUGCAGAAGAUAACAAUUUUUUGUUUUGUUACAGUGAUACUUGUCAGUGAAGAAUUUCCUGAUUUAUUUUCCCCUAAACAACCUCCCCCAACCCUCACAAGCACCUUUCCCUUCCUGUAAGGAAUUCUUGAUUCUGUAUAUAUAUAGUUUAAUUUUCUAGAAAAUUUAAAAACUAGCAAGAGAAAUAGAUUUAUACCUCUGUUUAGUUCUUUGUGGUUUGAGUAUGUUCAGAGAUGAGUCUCUAUGCUUCUCUUGCAAAGGUAUACAUGUGUAAGAUAUAACUGAAAGAAGCAUCACACCCUCCCAUGUGAUGGUAACAAAUACAGAUCUUAGAAAAUGCUUUUAAAAGUAAGUGUUAUUUCUCUUAUGCCCAGACACUUAUGCUCAGUUGAGGAGGCACAAAACCACAGCUGCAGGAAGUUCAAGUGAAACCUCAGUUUGCUCCUAGAAGUUUGUGAUUUUCAUAAUCUCAUCUGUGGCCACAGGACCUGAAGUCUGCUCCUGUCGUGUUUCUGUUGACUCCACUGAAAACAGACUGGAGUCCAAGAAGCCAUAAUUAAGGAGGAAGGAAGUGCAAAUGACUCCACAGGAUGACUCUGAAUUUACGACAUUGUUGUGGAAUAUUUCUGUACAGUUUUAAUGGUAAAUGUUGUCCUGCAUGAAGCAAACUACUAAUAACUCAGUCCAAUAAAUGUAAUUAGUUCUCUUUUUACCUAGUAUGUGUGUAUGUGUGCUGGUAACAAACACUGUUACUUGUUAUUACAGUAAUACUUCUAAUGUUAAUCAUUAUUAUCAGCUCAAACAGUACUUCAUCCCAAAAAGGUGUGUGAAAGUGUGCAUCAAUCUUAAGCCCAAAAGCAUUGUUGCAAAGAUUCUGAAUGUUGUCCCUCUUUCAUAGAAAGAUAAAACUAAAAAUAAAUUAUUUCAAUAGGAUAAAGACAAUUCACGCCAGCGCUCAGUGCUGGUCUGCAAUUUGAUACCUCACUAUCCAUUGGCUUUCUCCCCUUACCUUUACUAAAAUGUUUGCAAGAGUACAAAUCUCACAGAGAGCCUCCAAAUUAAAGCCAUAAAAGCCAGGUUCAUGGUUCUUGCUGAAAACAGCUGAGAUUUAAUUUUGGUCCAGUUUCAUUUUGAAUUUGUUUAAACCCAACUUUCCAAGCAAAAAUUAUAGUGGCAACAUUUAUAAAGGACAAGACCUAAAAGAAAUGUUCCUUAGGAGUAGCUGUAUCUCUUUAUAUGCCUUCAUAAUGAUAGAAGGCAAGUUAACAGUAUUGCAACUGCUGAAAUCUGAAUGCAUUCCACGUUCACUUUUUUUUUAAUAAGAACUGUAAAUAACGGGCCAUUUUUGUGUGUUAUAAAUGAUCCAUUCUGCAGUGCAAUGAUAGCUUCCUUUAGUUACAGCUUCUCUUGUAGCAAUAGACAGCUUAAAAAAAUCGUUCUUGCAGCAUACACAUAAUUUUAAAGAGGUGGAAUAAAGUUUUGGAACAAGUCCAUUCAUUUAAUUGAUACAAGGAUGACAAGUACUAGGAAUAUCUUUGGUGACCUAAAUCUCAUCUCGUACAGGAAGCUGCCUUAUCUUUUGGGGUUUCAGUUUGCACAUAGUAUUCUCUUCACAGGUAUUCCAUAUUCUAGAGAUUGCCUUUCUACUUAAAGCAGUAUUUUUUGCUUAUCCUCAGUGAUCAAAUCUCAUCAGUUGGAUGCUAAAGAAAUAUGAAGUAGAUUUAGAAAUAAUAAGAUCUUAAAAAUUAAUGAAGUCUAUAUGAAACAUUUCCCUCUGAAUUUGAAGUCUCUGAAGAAUCCUACUUUCCAGAUUUUUACUGGAAUCCUAAAGAGUAAUAUUAUUUUAAUUAAAGCACAAACUCCUGCUUAAUCACACAGCUUUGGAAGUUGCAAACUUAAAAACACAGCAAGGUUGAUGAUAUAAUUGAGGGGUCAAAAUAAUGUAGCCGUAUUAUUAGUACUGACCAGAGCAUUCUGGUGUUCUUAUAUUCUGAGCAGUUUUUAAGCAAACUAAACUUCCACUGUUCUAAA